Long non-coding RNA from Meriones unguiculatus (Mongolian gerbil), 632 nucleotides. RefSeq lists it as uncharacterized. The transcript is spliced from 4 exons. Lineage: Eukaryota; Metazoa; Chordata; Mammalia; Rodentia; Muridae. The record is from RefSeq and is a predicted model, not a curated record.
UCCAGUCCUCCGGAAGAGCAGGACGUGCCCUUAGCUGCUGAACCACCUCUCCAGCGCUUUAUUCUUGAUUUAAAGACUUUUAUCUUUAUUUUUGCAGAUUCAUUGCUCCUUAAGGAAAAAGACUUUCACAACUGAAAUGAAUAAAAAUCCACUUUUAUGAGCUCUAAGUGAAGGUGGAUCUGGAAACCGGGCUAGACUGUUGUUGUGUGGAAGUUUGCAGAGGCAACUGGUGACAGGGGCAACUUAAUAUGCAGGAGAAGAAGAGAGAGUUUCAGUCACAGAGGAGGCAAGAAGAUGAGGUGGGAUCUGAAUAUAAAUGCAAGGGAAAGCCAGACACAACAGCUGCACUUCCUGAGACCCCAGGGCCACAUGCAAUCAGGGCGUCAUUACAUAUUGCUGGACGGGGGUACUUAAGAGAGUGGCCAAGAUCUCAAGAGAGCGUCUCAUCGCCCCUGCUACACUUUCUGUGAAGGGAUGAUCACAGGCUCCAGCUCAGGGGUCUCUGAUGUAACACGGAAAGCAGCUUAGCCCUUUUUGUCAGAAUGCUGCUGGAAACCAAAAAUAAAGAAGCAAACAAGUAGGGCUGAGAUGUAGCUCAGUGGUGGGGUGUGUCCUUGGCAUGUAUGAAGCAG